This 112-nucleotide non-coding RNA is filed under the name Staphylococcus carnosus. Its description in RNAcentral is "SAM-I sequence". It matches the Rfam family "SAM riboswitch aptamer (S box leader)". From Rfam's summary of the family: The SAM riboswitch is found upstream of a number of genes which code for proteins involved in methionine or cysteine biosynthesis in Gram-positive bacteria. The SAM riboswitch acts at the level of transcription termination control. Lineage: Bacteria; Bacillati; Bacillota; Bacilli; Caryophanales; Staphylococcaceae. The record is from RNAcentral.
AACUUAUCAAGAGAAGCAGAGGGAAUUGGCCCUAUGAAGCUUCAGCAACAGAAGGUUAUUUAGACUGACCUCACUGUGCUUCAUCCAACAAGUACAACUUGAAAGAUAGGUG